CAGUAGCCGCGGUAAUACGAACCGUGCGAACGUUAUUCGGAAUUACUGGGCUUAAAGCGCGUGUAGGCGGGCCGGCACGUCCGACGCUGAAAUCCCCCGGCUCAACCGGGGAAGUGGCGGGGAUACGACCGGCCUCGAGGGGGGUAGGGGGACCUGGAACUUCCGGUGGAGCGGUGAAAUGCGUUGAGAUCGGAAGGAACGCCCGUGGCGAAAGCGAGGUCCUGGACCCUUUCUGACGCUGAGACGCGAAAGCCAGGGGAGCGAACGGGAUUAGAUACCCCUGUAGUCCCUGUCUCUUAUU
Molecule: ribosomal RNA, 301 nt
Filed under: uncultured bacterium
Lineage: Bacteria
Description: partial 16S ribosomal RNA
Rfam family: Bacterial small subunit ribosomal RNA
Source: RNAcentral